CCUACGGGAGGCAGCAGUGAGGAAUAUUGGUCAAUGGACGAGAGUCUGAACCAGCCAAGUAGCGUGAAGGAUGACUGCCCUAUGGGUUGUAAACUUCUUUUAUAAAGGAAUAAAACGAGGCACGUGUGCCUUUUUGCAUGUACUUUAUGAAUAAGGAUCGGCUAACUCCGUGCCAGCAGCCGCGGUAAUACGGAGGAUCCGAGCGUUAUCCGGAUUUAUUGGGUUUAAAGGGAGCGUAGAUGGGUUGUUAAGUCAGUUGUGAAAGUUUGCGGCUCAACCGUAAAAUUGCAAUUGAUACUGGAAGUCUUGAGUGCAGUUGAGGUAGGCGGAAUUCGUGGUGUAGCGGUGAAAUGCUUAGAUAUCACGAAGAACCCCGAUUGCGAAGGCAGCUUACUAAGCUGUGACUGACAUUGAUGCUCGAAAGUGUGGGUAUCAAACAGGAUUAGAUACCCUUGUAGUC
RNAcentral lists this ribosomal RNA (460 nucleotides) under uncultured bacterium. RNAcentral describes it as "partial 16S ribosomal RNA". It matches the Rfam family "Bacterial small subunit ribosomal RNA", at positions 338 to 795 of the family's 1533-position model. The record is from RNAcentral.